Molecule: ribosomal RNA, 753 nt
Filed under: uncultured bacterium
Lineage: Bacteria
Description: bacterial SSU rRNA
Rfam family: Bacterial small subunit ribosomal RNA
Source: RNAcentral
AGAGUUUGAUCAUGGCUCAGGAUGAACGCUAGCGGCAGGCCUAACACAUGCAAGUCGAGGGGUAACGAUUAUUUAGCUUGCUAAAUAAGGCGACGACCGGCGCACGGGUGAGUAACGCGUAUGCAACCUACCUUUAACUGGGGGAUAGCCCGAAGAAAUUCGGAUUAAUACCCCAUAAUAUAUAUGAGUCACCUGAUUUAUAUAUUAAAACUCCGGUGGUUAAAGAUGGGCAUGCGUGACAUUAGAUAGUUGGUAAGGUAACGGCUUACCAAGUCUACGAUGUCUAGGGGGCCUGAGAGGGUAAUCCCCCACACUGGUACUGAGACACGGACCAGACUCCUACGGGAGGCAGCAGUGAGGAAUAUUGGGCAAUGGGGGCAACCCUGACCCAGCCAUGCCGCGUGCAGGAUGACGGCUCUAUGAGUUGUAAACUGCUUUUACACGGGAAUAAUUGCAGAUACGUGUAUCUGUUUGAAUGUACCGUAUGAAUAAGCACCGGCUAACUCCGUGCCAGCAGCCGCGGUAAUACGGAGGGUGCAAGCGUUAUCCGGAUUUAUUGGGUUUAAAGGGUGCGUAGGCGGAAGUAUAAGUCAGUGGUGAAAUCUUGCAGCUUAACUGUAAAAUUGCCAUUGAUACUGUAUUUCUUGAGUACAGUUGAGGUAGGCGGAAUGUGUAAUGUAGCGNUGAAAUGCUUAGAUAUUACACAGAACACCGAUNGCGUAGGCNGCUUACUAAACUGUAACUGANGCUGAG